UUGUUCUCUCGGCAGGCAUCCUCAUUUGGGAAGUGCUUUUUGAGUAAUUUUCCUCCAGAGCAGUUUGUCAGCAUGUGUAGAGACCUGCGGGUGUUGAAUGCAGUCCGAGAUUAUACUGUCGGCAUUCCACUUUCCCACACUCAGUUCUUCCCCCUGACAGAAGUCCUAUAAAGGUUCAACAAAUUAUGGUGGCUCCAUUUUCACCAAUGGGUGGGGUUUGAAGGCAUGACAUCUUUGCCUUCCACUUUCUUUUCUUAAUACUCUUGUUAUUUUUAGUAACAUGAUUUUGCUAGUUGCUUUGGUAAGAAAAUAAAUAUUAUGUGCAUAUGUGUGUAAUUACAGAGACUGGAAACUCGGAUCGCUCAUUUACAAAGUGCUGUGGACGAGUACUACAAAGCCAAGAAUGAAUUUUCUUCCAAGGUGAAGACCGCAGGCUCUUCUGCUACAGGCAGAUUAGAAGCCUGCGUCAGAGUUCACUGCCUAUGUAGCCACAACAUUAUCACAUCUGUGAAUAAUCUAAAGGAAUUCUUAUUGUUCUCCUCUCUCAGACAACAGAAGAUGAAAUGCGUCUGCUGCGGUUUCAGAGGAAGGUAGAGGAAGAGAAGGGUGAGCAGCUUGUGGGAUUCUCCCUUCAUGACACUAUGACCAUCCUGCUGUCUGUGGGGCUGCAUAAACACACUUGAACAACUUUACAAAGACUUCAGGAUGCCCGACAAGAGGUUCUGGUGGCUGAAGUUAAAGGCUCUGGCUGAGAAGGAGGACUGGGAAGAGCUGGAGAAAUUUUCCAAAAGCAAAAAGUCUCCUAUUGGCUAUCUGCCAUUUGUUGAGGUGUGCAUUAAACACCAUAACAAAUAUGAAGCCAGGAAAUACAUGUCAAAAGUCACACCGGAGCAGAAAGUCAAAGCUCACCUUGCAGUAGGGUAAG
This is a long non-coding RNA of Carassius auratus (goldfish), 925 nucleotides long. RefSeq lists it as uncharacterized. The transcript has 3 exons. NCBI's taxonomy places the organism in Eukaryota, Metazoa, Chordata, Actinopteri, Cypriniformes, Cyprinidae. The record is from RefSeq and is a predicted model, not a curated record.